ACUUAGGUACGUUCGUUUUCCCUCAGGUGCAGCGAUGGUGUUGUGGUGUUUUUUACCGUGUGCCGUGCCUUAACAGCCCCUUCCUUCCCUUGCCUAACCACCGCCAGCGACCAGAGGAUGCAGCAAAGAUGAGGGAAGGGAGAAAGAACAGUUAAAUGGAUGUGAAAACUUGGAAAACAGGAAAAUACACCGGCUUUCUUUUUUCUGGUCAUUCUCUCUCUCUCUCUUCUCUCCACUCGACUCCUCAGGUGAGAGGCGGCAGGUGAGCAGCAUCGCUACCUGGUGAGUGUUACCUGUGAUCAGUAAACCGAGUAUGCAAAUUAUACAUUACACAAUUUCCUUACGCAUUCGGCCGUGUCUUUUCGGUUCAUUGAAGAGUAACGGAACUGUGGACCUGUUUUCAUCUCUCAUCACAAAGGAGUCACACAAGGAAAGGAUCUCACACGGCUUGUCAGUAUCUCAGAUCAAGAUACUAAGUCACCACCGGUCUUGUUCGCCGCUCCCAGUUGGCAGAGUGUAUCAGCCAUGGGAAAGCAGACAUCCACUACCUCUCUCAUCUCUUAUCAGUCUAUGUUGGCUAGAAAGUUCCUAAUUCACUGUUGGAAAAGUAGGUCUCGAAUUUAAGCAGGAGACACAGGAGAGAAAUGAAGGAGGAGGACCUAAGAACAUAAUCAAAGAGAUAGGUAACAGGAAAAAGAAAAAAGGAAAAAGUUUAUAUCAUCUUCAGGUCAUCCACUCCAGGUUCUUACUGUAUAACUAUUAAAGAAUAUAUUUUGGUGACCACUUCGAGUCAUCCCAUCACUCACUCUUCUUGGGACGUGACUGGUAAUUCAAGAAGUGAUUGGACAGCUAGUAUGAGGAAACUGACCGGGUAUUAUGGUGCAAGCUGUGACAGAUUUAUCCUCACGUCCUCAAAAGAUACUGGAAUACCUACGUGUGGGUUGAGAGUAAGACACACAAAGCAAUGGGAAGCCCGCACCGUAUUACAAAAUGUUCAAGUGACGAAAUAUGUAGGAAAAAAUAACAGUUAUAAGCUGGAAAAAUGGACUAAUAUAAGAAAAACAUGACAGUAUAAAAGAUAGUAAGUUUUUUGACUCUAGAAAUUUAUUGAACAAAGUAAAAUAACACAGUAAAGAAAAGAUAACGGACUUUGGCGUUGGGACAAAUACCUCGUAUAUAAAAAGAAAAAGUGACAGAUUUCGCCUUUGAAAAAUAAAUAUGAAAAUAACGUAAUUCGGGAAAAAGAUAACAUGCCUCGGUGCUUGAAAAUACUAAAAAUACAUCAAAAUAACAGGUUUUGAUGCGGAAAAGUACCAAAACACAUGAAAAUAGCUUAACGCAGGAAAAACUGACGUGUCUUGACGGCGGAAAACAAGCAAAAUAACACGUUUCGACGCUGGGAAAUAAACGAUUAUAGGAGAGUAGGGCAAUAAGGUAAGGAGUCACCUAUACAAUCAGGUUACAAUACAGUCAAGUCACGUGUAAUCAAGACUUCACGUCCCUUUAAUACAUCUAGACAAUUGCCUUCCCGUCUCCACCACCAGCUGUAACAACACCCCACUCCACUCACUGCACCUACUCCACACACUCCACCUGCUCCACCUUCCCCUAAACUCACUCCCUCACCACACAAGCUCGUAAAGCAUGAUCUUGUCGCCCUGUCACGCCUCCUCCUGCUCUGACCUGACCUGACCUCCCCUGCCCCGCCUUCAGGAAGCAGUGAAGUCACAUCCUCCCGCCCUCCUCCUCCUCCUCCUCCUCCUCCAGACAAACCACCAUGCAGCUGUUUAUGUGCCUUCCCCUCCUCCUCUAUCUCCUUCCUUCCUUUUUUUCUCUAGUUUUUCUUCCUAUUCUUCUUUCUUUCUCUUUUCCUUCCUUCCUGCCUUUCUUUGUAGCUUUUCUUUCUAUCCUUUCUCUCCCCUUCUCUUUCGUCAUUUCUUUUUCUCCUUUCCUUCUCUCUUUCUUUCUCAUUUCUUUCGCCCUUUCUCCAUCCUGCUUUCCU
Molecule: long non-coding RNA, 2002 nt
Organism: Scylla paramamosain (green mud crab)
Lineage: Eukaryota; Metazoa; Arthropoda; Malacostraca; Decapoda; Portunidae
Exons: 3
Source: RefSeq, a predicted model, not a curated record